RNAcentral lists this ribosomal RNA (305 nucleotides) under uncultured bacterium. RNAcentral describes it as "bacterial SSU rRNA". It matches the Rfam family "Bacterial small subunit ribosomal RNA", at positions 337 to 638 of the family's 1533-position model. The record is from RNAcentral.
GCCUACGGGGGGCAGCAGUGAGGAAUAUUGGUCAGUGGGCGCGAGCCUGAACCAGCCAAGUCGCGUGAGGGAUGACGGCCCUACGGGUUGUAAACCUCUUUUGCCGGGGAGCAACGGGCGUCACGUGUGGCGCCACUGAGAGUACCCGGAGAAAAAGCAUCGGCUAACUACGUGCCAGCAGCCGCGGUAAUACGUAGGGUGCGAGCGUUAAUCGGAAUUACUGGGCGUAAAGGGUGUGCAGGCGGCUGAGUAAGACAGAUGUGAAAUCCCCGGGCUUAACCUGGGAACCGCAUAUGUGACUGCUU